RNAcentral lists this ribosomal RNA (463 nucleotides) under uncultured bacterium. RNAcentral describes it as "partial 16S ribosomal RNA". It matches the Rfam family "Bacterial small subunit ribosomal RNA", at positions 28 to 506 of the family's 1533-position model. The record is from RNAcentral.
GACGAACGCUGGCGGCGUGCUUAACACAUGCAAGUCGAACGGAAAGGCCCUGCUUGCAGGGUACUCGAGUGGCGAACGGGUGAGUAACACGUGGGUGAUCUGCCCUGCACUUCGGGAUAAGCCUGGGAAACUGGGUCUAAUACCGGAUAGGAGCCAUUUUUAGUGUGAUGGUUGGAAAGUUUUUUCGGUGUAGGAUGAGCUCGCGGCCUAUCAGCUUGUUGGUGGGGUAAUGGCCUACCAAGGCGGCGACGGGUAGCCGGCCUGAGAGGGUGGACGGCCACAUUGGGACUGAGAUACGGCCCAGACUCCUACGGGAGGCAGCAGUGGGGAAUAUUGCACAAUGGGCGCAAGCCUGAUGCAGCGACGCCGCGUGGGGGAUGACGGCCUUCGGGUUGUAAACUCCUUUCGCUAGGGACGAAGCUUUUGUGACGGGACCUAGAUAAGAAGCACCGGCUAACUACGU